UCGAGAAUUUUUCUCAAUGAGCGAAAGCUUGAAGGAGCGACGCCGCGUGGGGGAUGAAGGGCUUCGGCUCGUAAACCCCUGUCAUUUGUGAACAAACCCUUAUAUUUAAUAGAUAUGAGGUUGAUAGUAGCGAAAGAGGAAGGGACGGCUAACUCUGUGCCAGCAGCCGCGGUAAUACAGAGGUCCCAAGCGUUGUUCGGAAUCACUGGGCGUAAAGGGUGCGUAGGUGGUCAUUAAAGUUUGGUGUGAAAUCUCCGGGCUUAACUCGGAAAGUGCAUUAAAUACUGAAUGGCUGGAGGGUUGGAGGGGAGACUGGAAUUCUCGGUGUAGCAGUGAAAUGCGUAGAUAUCGAGAGGAACACCAGUGGCGAAGGCGAGUCUCUGGACAACACCUGACACUGAGGCACGAAAGCUAGGGGAGCAAACAGG
This 428-nucleotide ribosomal RNA is filed under the name uncultured bacterium. RNAcentral describes it as "bacterial SSU rRNA". It matches the Rfam family "Bacterial small subunit ribosomal RNA", at positions 355 to 776 of the family's 1533-position model. The record is from RNAcentral.